Molecule: ribosomal RNA, 254 nt
Filed under: uncultured bacterium
Lineage: Bacteria
Description: partial 16S ribosomal RNA
Rfam family: Bacterial small subunit ribosomal RNA
Source: RNAcentral
UACGUAGGUGGCAAGCGUUGUCCGGAUUUACUGGGCGUAAAGAGCGCGCAGGCGGUCGAUUUAGUCGCGUGUGAAAGCCCCCGGCUCAACUGGGGAGGGUCACGCGAUACUGAUCGACUCGAAGGCAGGAGAGGGUAGUGGAAUUCCCGGUGUAGUGGUGAAAUGCGUAGAUAUCGGGAGGAACACCAGUGGCGAAGGCGACUACCUGGCCUGUUUCUUGACGCUGAGGCGCGAAAGCUAGGGGAGCAAACGGG